Molecule: ribosomal RNA, 468 nt
Filed under: uncultured bacterium
Lineage: Bacteria
Description: partial 16S ribosomal RNA
Rfam family: Bacterial small subunit ribosomal RNA
Source: RNAcentral
GACGAACGCUGGCGGCGUGGUUAACACAUGCAAGUCGAACGGAAAGGCCCUGCUUAAGAGGGGUGGUGGAGGGGCGAACGGGAACGCGUCACGUGAGUCACCUGCGACGGACACAGCGACAACAUCAGGAAACUGAGAUCAGUACGUGACAGGACUUGCAGCUGCGUGGGGGGGAAUGGAGCGUUAGGGCGGGUGGGGAUCGGCUCGCGGCUUAGCAGCUUGUUGGGGGGGUAGCGGCUUACCAAGGCUUUGACGGGUAGCCGGCCUGGGAGGGUGACCGGCCACAAUGGGACUUGGGUACGGCCCCGUCUCCUACGGGGGGCAGCAGUUGGGAAUAUUGCACAGUGGGCGGAAGCCUGAUGCGGCCACGCCGCGGGCCGGAUAGCGGCUUUCGGGUUCUUAACCGCUUUCGCCUGUGGCGAAGCGCGAGUGACGGUACUCUAUAAAGAAGCCCCGGCUAACUACGUG